This 76-nucleotide transfer RNA is filed under the name bacterium. RNAcentral describes it as "tRNA-Val". It matches the Rfam family "tRNA". Rfam says of the family: Transfer RNA (tRNA) molecules are approximately 80 nucleotides in length. The record is from RNAcentral. RNAcentral also lists the same sequence under 4 other names.
GGACGAUUAGCUCAGUUGGCAGAGCACCGGCCUCACAUGCCGGGGGUCGCAGGUUCAAGUCCUGCAUCGUCCACCA